UGGGUUUGAACUGUUGGAGACAGUCCUAGAGAUAGGAUCUUCCCUUCGGGGACCCCAGCAG
RNAcentral lists this ribosomal RNA (61 nucleotides) under uncultured organism. RNAcentral describes it as "partial 16S ribosomal RNA". The record is from RNAcentral.